This 161-nucleotide ribosomal RNA is filed under the name uncultured bacterium. RNAcentral's name for it is "partial 16S ribosomal RNA". It matches the Rfam family "Bacterial small subunit ribosomal RNA", at positions 358 to 515 of the family's 1533-position model. The record is from RNAcentral.
GGGUAUUUGGACACUGGGCGCAAGCCUGAUCCAGCCAUGCCGCGUGCAGGAUGACGGUCCUAUGGAUUGUAAACUGCUUUUAUACGAGAAGAAACACUGCUUCGUGAAGCAGCUUGACGGUAUCGUAAGAAUAAGGAUCGGCCUAACUCCGUGCCAGCAGC